GCCUCAACCAGGCCAAGGAGCAGUGGUACGGCCCUCGAUUGCCCACAGGGUUCUCCGUCGCAGUGCACGUGCGCGCCGGCCUACCGCCGGGCCAUCAGGCGCGCCUGCUUCGCCGCUGCCGCCGUUGUCCUCCGCGAGGUCCGCUCCCCUCUCCUCUGCACCUCAUCCUCCUAUUCCAAUGUAGAGCCCUGGUUUCUCCGUGCUGCCUGUGCUGCUCAGAUUCAUCGACGCGCCCUCGCCGAGUGUUCCAGCGCGGGGAUUUUAUUUUGUUUUUCUUUUGUUUUGGCUUGGAUGGCGAGGGUGAAGAAGAAAAUCAUUCUGAUUCCCAUUGAUUUGUAAAAAAAAUGAGAUCUCUAACCAGCUACUACUGACUCGUCAUCCAAUCUACCAACUGUUGGAUUCACUAGUUUAUUUCUUAAUUGUUUUAGUGGUGCUUGUCCGUGUUUUUCAUGGAGCCAGUGAUGUUAUUAAAAUAUUUGCUACUCUUGAUGGGGCAACGACCCCAUUUGAUGAUCACAACCACCAAGAUCUCUGAGGCCCUUCAAAUCAUCUUUAAUUUUUUUUGAUGAUUCUCUGUGCCUCAACAUGGAAAGUCCUCGGAUGCAGCAAUUCUAAAUGAUGGCAACUCAGCUGCUUCGUGCUUCCCUGUGCAACGUUUGUAGCUCCCCUUGUACUGACCUGCUUCUCCAUGUAUUGCUGUGAAAACAAUAUCACUGUUGCUUCAGAUUCGGUUCAGGAAACACGAGAAUGCAUAUGAUUUCAGUAACAUGCGUAGAGUUUUUUACAGCUUUGCUGUGACAACAAACCCAACAUCAUUUCAGUACCAUGUGUGGAGAAUAUAUAAAAAAGGCAAAGAAAAGCUAAAUCCGAAACUUACGUUUUGUACAGGUAGUAUAGUUUGAGGCCAAUUAAGAUUUCAGACCUUGGUGUGCUUCUUUUACAUAUAAGUCUGACGAAACAGAAGAAAUAUUGUUGCCAUGGCUAAUCAACAACAGGAUGCGUGUGAGACAACCAUACUGAUAAUCUAACUUAGUUUUUAUCAUGUGCUGAAACUUAAAAAUCACCUAAUGAGAACACCCAAGGUCAUAAUUCCAUCCUGGCAUCCUCCUUGUUUUUCGAAAAUAACUUUUGGAAAACACCUAAUCUUUCAUAUAUGUUCUUCUACUUAUUUGUUUUGAUUGAUUCCGUUCAUUGCCAAUUACUGAGUAUGAUUUGUGUUCCUCGUGGUAUAUCCUGAUUGGCGGCGUUCUUGCCGACAUAUAUGUUUUUUCCUGCAUUUGUGAUCUGAUUUUGGCGACCAUGUUACUUCGAAUCUAACACAGAUUACUUCUAUUAGACCCUUGGAUUCUCUGUAUGUGCACUGUUCUUUUCCUAUUAUGUACAAUAUCUAUUUGAUUACUGAACAAACCAUUGCUUGGAUCUGGACAUAUGUCAGAUUGAAUUGGCUCACAAACAAUUUUGUGAAAGGAGAAUAAGCAGCUUCGACCUAGUCUCAGAUCAGUCUAGGUGCCCUCUGUUCUCCAAUGCCCUUGUUACUCCUAGCCCAACUGCACAUUUUGAAUUCGCAGAUUUCAGCCUUCAGCCAUGAAAAGCCUAACUGGGCUCACAUGCAUGGGAAUGUACUCUGUUUUGGAGCAACUUAAAAAGGAUGCCUUCUAAAAUCGUUAGUGCCCUUCUAAAGAAUGCUUAUUCCACUCUAAACCGAAUAAAAAAAUCUGACGGGACUGUCCAUAUAUCAUGCACUGAAUCUGACCUGUAACAUGGUCUUAUUGGCCUGUAACAUGGUCAUCUAUUAUUAACCUGGAUUAAUCUCGUCUGCCUUGAUUUAACAAUGAUAUGCGUGUUUGUCUGUCAUCAAGCAUUUAGAAUGGAACUAGUGAGGUAUUAUUUGGAAAUCUAGGAUAAAUGCCAAGGACCUAGUUGUUAUUUUGGCUCUGAAUCGAAUGGUUGAUGUUGCGUUAGGCAAAACACCAUACCAACUGGAAAAACUGCUUCGUGUUUUAGCUGAUUCUCGGCAAGUUCGGUCUCUGAAUUGCUAAGUGGUAGUAUGGUGACUGAUAUUUUUGCCUGCUCUUAGUUUCUCUCAAGUCAAUUCUAGUCCAGUUAGGCUUUUUUUUACUCUUGAUAGGUACUACUGAUUUGGACUGGUGUUUACGUGAAAUUAUAUGCUGGUUUCGUCAGCUGAGUGGAAAUGCUUCUGUUUCUUUUUUAUGCAGGUGGUACCUCAGAAACAAGACUGAGGGAUUGUGUGUUAAGGAAGUACGGUGAUCUGAACUUUGUUCUCCCAGGUAGAUGCAUGCUUUCAAUUCUGUUGGAUCCAUUCCUUCCUUUUGAUUUACUUCACUUGCAGUAGAAUUCUUCCACUUUUCUCUUGUAAUUUUCUGAAUGAAUUUGCAGUCAUUCUUGCCUAGUCCACUCAUAUCACACUUCUUCCUAAUUCAGUACAGUUCCACUUGCGCACCGUGUCUAAUUAUGCUAUUUGCUACUAUGAUUUGAAUUUAGGAGCAAGAUGAAAUCGUUUUCUGACAAUAGUAGGUAGGAUUUACUGACAGUUUCCAAUCCUCUAUUUCUUCAGUUCGACACACUCAAGACAGAACUUGAACCUUCCCAAGCGUCGACAGUGGUACCCUUCUGAUGAUAGACUGCAUUUGCAUCUGAAGAGGAUCGGAUGGCCACGUUCUUCUCCACUUCAAACGAUCAGAGGGGCCUUGCCGCAUCAACCUAAAAAUUUCUUUCUCUAAUUUCUGAAGCAUAGCAUCAACCUAAAAAUGCAGCAAAGCAGAAUGUAAACAUUAGCCCUUUAGUAUAACAUGAUUAGAGCUUCGAAACACAUGGGUUUUGUUUUGGCAUGCUUGUUUACUUUUUCUUGUUAUCUUUAGUUAUCUACUACUCAAUUAUGCAUAGCAACACAAGAGGUUGUUUCAAAGCUAGGUCAGAACUUAGAACAGUUCCUGUCAUAAUUCAAAUGAUACCUCUGUGCCAUUCGGUACGAGGCCAG
Molecule: long non-coding RNA, 2998 nt
Filed under: Hordeum vulgare
Lineage: Eukaryota; Viridiplantae; Streptophyta; Magnoliopsida; Poales; Poaceae
Description: long non-coding RNA (HVUL_LNC008313)
Rfam family: Small nucleolar RNA R12 (bases 295-376)
Source: RNAcentral